Molecule: ribosomal RNA, 656 nt
Filed under: Pseudomonas fluorescens
Lineage: Bacteria; Pseudomonadati; Pseudomonadota; Gammaproteobacteria; Pseudomonadales; Pseudomonadaceae
Description: bacterial SSU rRNA
Rfam family: Bacterial small subunit ribosomal RNA
Source: RNAcentral
ACGGGUGAGUAAAGCCUAGGAAUCUGCCUGGUAGUGGGGGAUAACGCUCGGAAACGGACGCUAAUACCGCAUACGUCCUACGGGAGAAAGCAGGGGACCUUCGGGCCUUGCGCUAUCAGAUGAGCCUAGGUCGGAUUAGCUAGUUGGUGAGGUAAUGGCUCACCAAGGCGACGAUCCGUAACUGGUCUGAGAGGAUGAUCAGUCACACUGGAACUGAGACACGGUCCAGACUCCUACGGGAGGCAGCAGUGGGGAAUAUUGGACAAUGGGCGAAAGCCUGAUCCAGCCAUGCCGCGUGUGUGAAGAAGGUCUUCGGAUUGUAAAGCACUUUAAGUUGGGAGGAAGGGCAUUAACCUAAUACGUUAGUGUUUUGACGUUACCGACAGAAUAAGCACCGGCUAACUCUGUGCCAGCAGCCGCGGUAAUACAGAGGGUGCAAGCGUUAAUCGGAAUUACUGGGCGUAAAGCGCGCGUAGGUGGUUCGUUAAGUUGGAUGUGAAAUCCCCGGGCUCAACCUGUGGAACUGCAUUCAAAACUGUCGAGCUAGAGUAUGGUAGAGGGUGGUGGAAUUUCCUGUGUAGCGGUGAAAUGCGUAGAUAUAGGAAGGAACACCAGUGGCGAAGGCGACCACCUGGACUGAUACUGACACUGAUGUG